Molecule: ribosomal RNA, 433 nt
Filed under: uncultured bacterium
Lineage: Bacteria
Description: partial 16S ribosomal RNA
Rfam family: Bacterial small subunit ribosomal RNA
Source: RNAcentral
GACGAACGCUGGCGGCAGGCCUAACACAUGCAAGUCGAGCGGACCUUUCGGGGUCAGCGGCGGACGGGUGAGUAACGCGUGGGAAUAUGCCCUUCUCUACGGAAUAGUCCUGGGAAACUGGGGGUAAUACCGUAUACGCCCUUUGGGGGAAAGAUUUAUCGGGGAAGGAUUAGCCCGCGUUGGAUUAGGUAGUUGGUGGGGUAAUGGCCUACCAAGCCGACGAUCCAUAGCUGGUUUGAGAGGAUGAUCAGCCACACUGGGACUGAGACACGGCCCAGAAUCCUACGGGAGGCAGCAGUGGGGAAUCUUAGACAAUGGGGGCAACCCUGAUCGAGCCAUGCCGCGUGAGUGAUGAAGGCCUUAGGGUUGUAAAGCUCUUUCAGCUGGGAAGAUAAUGACGGUACCAGCAGAAGAAGCCCCGGCUAACUCCGUG